UUCGGCCUACGUCCAGACUCCGCCCACGUCCAGGCUCCGCCCUGUUGUCUGAGUUGCGCAAUCCAUAGCCGGGGAAGCGCUACGUGGAGACCGGACUGAGUGGAUGCGGAGCCCUGGAGCUGGGGAAGUAGAGGGCGGAUCUUGAAUGGGAUGCUGGACAUUGCUCAUGAGAAACCCGAGGAAGAUACUAAAAAGACAGCCACAGUUUUCCUCAUGCCUGCCGCCAAGUUUCUUGAGGGCCCAGCUGUUGGGGGUCUGUGGUUGAGUUUUUAAGCAGGAUCAAGUUACAAAGCGCCACACACCUAUCCACAGGGGUUCUGAUAUGGGACCGGUGUCUAAAGGUGUCGACUGGCCAUCGUCCUUCCACACACGAAGCCUCUCACAUAAACAGACUCAGAAGAAGGAGCUGUAACAGCUUUGAGAGUGAGCUAGUAUAUUGGUCGAAAACUUCUUGUUGGAAAACAGAAAUCUGAACAAGUCAGCUCAGGCAAAAUAGGAAAUUUAUUGGCUCAGAUGAUUUGGAAAUUCAGGGAUAAUGCUGAUUUUAGAUGCCAGGUUAUCAACCCCAAUGAAAAAGAGGUAUUCUGGUUACUCUGGCAGAAAAGUCUUGGGGAGGACUCCGCUUAGAUUUGCCUUGCUGGACUAGUAAAGAAAAUUGCACUAUUGCAUACACAUUCUAUUACAUACUACAGAAAUCAUGUGGUAACUGUAUUACUUCUAUUUUAUUUUCUGCUUUUGUCUUCCUUUCUCUCCUUUUUUGUGGCCUGGGUAUAGAUCCUUAAAUCUCCUUAAAUAUGUUAUGUGCUUUCUAUUUCUACUUCACUAAUCAUCACUCUGCUUAUAUCACAUGCCCAUCUUUGAACCAUUCACCAUGACCAGAAGGAUGAGCAUAUUCAUUGGUCAGCCUGGGCUGCAUGACCACUCUUGAGUUGAGGGUAGGGUGGCAUCACUAUUCACAGUUGCGUUAGGACCACAUGACCGGGGAGGAUGCAGGGUAGACAGACAACGUGUGUCUGCUAUACCCAUCCCUGUGUUAUACCUUUUCUAUUGAGAAAUGUAAUUGUUAUGACUAAACUGAUUCCCUCUGGCUAAUUCCUUUCCUCUUCUGCCAGCUGGUCAGAAUCUUUUCAUGAUUCUCCGUCAAUAAAAGGCAACAGUUAAACCCUUAAAUGUUCUUGAGAAGUUACAUUAUUUCAUAGCCUUUACAAAUUUAACAGUGAGAAAAUCCCCAUUUCCAUUAAAUUUUCCCAGGCAGAAUUUCUAAAUCUUUUGUCAUCUUCUUAGAUCUUAUAGACAGUGUUUUCUUUCCUGCCUUUUUCUAGUUCAGGAUUCCAAAUGGAGCUGAUGUGAAAGAUAUAGUGUAGGAUAUUGGUAAAAAAAAAUAUGAAUUUCUGGGUCAACUGACUUGUGUUCAAAUUCCACUUCAACCACUAGACCAGCAGUGGUUGGGG
Orcinus orca (killer whale) is the source of this 1451-nucleotide long non-coding RNA. RefSeq lists it as uncharacterized. NCBI's taxonomy places the organism in Eukaryota, Metazoa, Chordata, Mammalia, Artiodactyla, Delphinidae. The transcript is spliced from 4 exons. The record is from RefSeq and is a predicted model, not a curated record.